UAUGACUGAUGAUGAGGUUUGACUAUUUAUCCAUGAUUUGCUAUCUAGUCAGGACUCACGAUAGAGAGACUGCAUCAUACAUUAACUAUAUCUAGAGAUUAUAUUUUGAUUCUGCUGGGUUGUCACUACAUAUUGCUAGAUGUCACUGGUAGAUUGUGAGAGCUCAAUAAGAUUGCUCUGGAUCAAUAAUCUUUAUCGAGUUAAAGUGAAAC
Molecule: long non-coding RNA, 212 nt
Filed under: Elaeis guineensis (African oil palm)
Lineage: Eukaryota; Viridiplantae; Streptophyta; Magnoliopsida; Arecales; Arecaceae
Description: long non-coding RNA (EGUI_LNC040057)
Source: RNAcentral